Molecule: ribosomal RNA, 388 nt
Filed under: Enterococcus faecalis
Lineage: Bacteria; Bacillati; Bacillota; Bacilli; Lactobacillales; Enterococcaceae
Description: bacterial SSU rRNA
Rfam family: Bacterial small subunit ribosomal RNA
Source: RNAcentral
CCGUUCGAAUAGGGCGGUACCUUGACGGUACCUAACCAGAAAGCCACGGCUAACUACGUGCCAGCAGCCGCGGUAAUACGUAGGUGGCAAGCGUUGUCCGGAAUUAUUGGGCGUAAAGGGCUCGCAGGCGGUUUCUUAAGUCUGAUGUGAAAGCCCCCGGCUCAACCGGGGAGGGUCAUUGGAAACUGGGGAACUUGAGUGCAGAAGAGGAGAGUGGAAUUCCACGUGUAGCGGUGAAAUGCGUAGAGAUGUGGAGGAACACCAGUGGCGAAGGCGACUCUCUGGUCUGUAACUGACGCUGAGGAGCGAAAGCGUGGGGAGCGAACAGGAUUAGAUACCCUGGUAGUCCACGCCGUAAACGAUGAGUGCUAAGUGUUAGGGGGUUUCC